UGGGGAAUAUUGCACAAUGGGCGCAAGCCUGAUGCAGCCAUGCCGCGUGUGUGAAGAAGGCCUUCGGGUUGUAAAGCACUUUCAGCGAGGAGGAAGGUGGUGAGCUUAAUACGCUCAUCAAUUGACGUUACUCGCAGAAGAAGCACCGGCUAACUCCGUGCCAGCAGCCGCGGUAAUACGGAGGGUGCAAGCGUUAAUCGGAAUUACUGGGCGUAAAAGCGCACGCAGGCGGUUUGUUAAGUCAGAUGUGAAAAUCCCGCC
This 261-nucleotide ribosomal RNA is filed under the name uncultured Serratia sp. Its description in RNAcentral is "partial 16S ribosomal RNA". It matches the Rfam family "Bacterial small subunit ribosomal RNA", at positions 355 to 607 of the family's 1533-position model. The record is from RNAcentral. Lineage: Bacteria; Pseudomonadati; Pseudomonadota; Gammaproteobacteria; Enterobacterales; Yersiniaceae.